Long non-coding RNA from Triticum aestivum (bread wheat), 2536 nucleotides. RefSeq lists it as uncharacterized. The record is from RefSeq and is a predicted model, not a curated record. The transcript has 5 exons. NCBI's taxonomy places the organism in Eukaryota, Viridiplantae, Streptophyta, Magnoliopsida, Poales, Poaceae.
UCUUCGCCGACAACGUCGUCUCCGGCGACGGGGAAGGGGCGGAUCCAGUUGAUGCUGCGCACAACAACGGAGGACAGAGACGAUCACAGUUUUGCCAUGUGGACGAGGACAUUGAUUGGGCUUGUUCUCGCAGCUUGCGCACAUCGCCGGAGGGCGGAGGCCGGACAAGCGCGCCAUCACCACGCCAGGGGAGCUGUUGACGGGAAUAUCCUAUUAUGCGUCAACGUGUCGAGGCGCCGCACACCCCCUUGACUUGAAUUGGGCCGGCCUUUUUGUAUCUCUUUCCUGUCCCCUUCCUCGUGCGACUCGCUCAUUCCUCCACAGAUAAGCUUUCCUCGCUCGUGCGGCGAUCCCCUUUUCCUCCCUGGUGCGAUAGAUUCUACUCCGGCAAGAGACCGCCGCCCUCGUGGCCAGUGUCUCCAUCGUCGGCGUCCGCGUUGUCUAGGGCUCCGUCAAGCUCGGCGUCGUCUAGGGUUCCGCCAAGCUCGGCGUCGUCUAGGCCCUGGUCAAGCUCGGCAUCCACAAGAUAUGUUGUAUAAAAGUCGAGAAAGCAUUUUUUUGAUGGACUGGUGUUAGCUCUGGUGAUAUUUGUUGUAGAUUACAACAAGCAGGUAUACUUAGAUGCUUUUUUUCAUGUAGAUAUGUGUGCACUGGGGUUAUUUCUAGCACUUUAGAACUAGUAUCUGUACCUUGACCAUUUUUACAUGAUGGAUAACCUUUGUGUGCUACUCUUUUCGCAUAUGUAUUGUUCAGGUGCUUAUCACAUUCACAAUUUGUAAACGAUGUAUUCCACAAACAUUGUUUAGGGAACACUAUCUAGGAACAUUAUUUUAGGGAACAUUUUCCGAUGAACAUUACAUGGGAACAUUAUUUAUUUUGAAGAACAGUUUUUCACUUCACAGAAUAUUCUUAAAUUUUGCAUAGUUAUUUGGGGACAUUCAUCAGGGAACAUUACUCUGGGAACAUUAUUUAGCUAACAUUAUUAAGGGAACAUUUUGCUAAGAAAAAUUGUUGGCUCCAGCGAACAAUAAUUAAUUUUGUUGGAAAAUAAUGUUCUCGGAAAAAGUUGCAACCUGCAACUUGUUUAGGCUUUUACCAACAUUAUUCUUUGUUUUAUGGGAACAUUUUGCAAGGAUUUUUUUACUCCAGGGAACAUUAUUUUAUUUGUAGAACAUUUUAGAGUUUGGAGAUAGUUUUUUAAAUAUACCUAGAACAUCUUCCACGGAACAUUAUUUAGGGAACAGUUUUCAAGGGACAUUUAUGAGGGAACAUUAUGUGCGGAACAUUAUUUAGGUAACAUUAUCAAAGAACCUUUUGAAAGGAAAAGUUGUUGACUCUAGGGAACAUUAUUUAUUUUUGAAGAACAUUUUCUGACUUCGAAGAAUAUUUUCAAGAUGUAUGUAGUACAUUUUCCAGGGAACAUUAUUCAAGGAACAUUUUCGAGGGACAUUUAUGAGGGAAAAUUAUUUGGGGAACAUUGUUUAGGUGACAUUAUUAAGGGAACAUUAUUUAGGGACAUUAUUAACAUAACAGUAUUGACGGAACAUUAUUGAAGGAACAUUUUGUCAGGGAACAUUAUUUAAAAAACAUUUUCCCACGAACAUUAUUCAGGUAACAGUAUGAAGGGAACAUUUUUACGGAAAUACUAGUUCUUUUAACAUAGGAAAUUUUGAGUCAAGAUUUGUACCAGCUCCCAAGUUCAAUUUCAGGUGCCUUUCUGAAUGGAACUCUCCCCUGUACUUAUAACACUGAUAAGCAACUUCUGUGCUCUAUCUCCACAAAUAAUAGUUACAAAGAAUUUAAAAUUCACCAAAUGUUCCAUCACAAUUUUGUUUACAGGUAUGACUCAGGGAUUUUCCUUCUUCAGUAUCUGAGAAACUACAAAGGUCUCGGAAUGGAGGGUUUCCCUAAUGCAAGUACCACCACAAUUACCCCGUUGAAAGCACUUUUUUCCCUUCUUUGUGAUUCUUCGGUACAUAACAGAAAUUAAAUUGCAUUUUAUUUUAAAAAUUGAAGGACGAUCUAUAAGCUCAACGUGAGAAAUACCAUUUUGAGAUUGUCACUUGCAAGGACAAUGAAAUUCAGCUGCCAAUUGUAACUUCUUUCCCGCAGAAACAUGGUUUCCGCAUAUUCAAGUGAAGCUUUGAAGGCCAAUCAUUUUUCGUCCCGCAUAUGAACUCAGCUUAGGGUCUCAUCACUAUUAUUUAUUGCUAACUUCAAGGGAAAUUGCAGUGCAAGAAUUUUUUUGAACUGAAAGGAAUUCUUCCAUGAGGGAAAUGUUUCCUUAAUGAUACAGUUCUCUGCUUUUGUCAUGGUGCCCAGUGAUGCUUUCUUGCAUUACUUUCAGUUGCAAAGAAGAUUCAAAACUGCAUAAUUAGUUUGUAAAGAAGCUCUAGGCAUAAUUACUGUUUUAAAAUGUUUCUUCGACCUCUCAGUACUGUUAUUGAACAAGCAUAAUUACUGUUUGUAAAUGUUUAUUUACUUCAGCUAUAUUCUUUUGUACAGUUGGAAUCAGUUCUCUGUUUUAGAACCAGCA